GCAUAACGCGAAGAACCUUACCAAGGCUUGACAUCCCCUUGACCGGCACAGAGAUGUGCCCUCUCCUUCGGGAGCAAGGGUGACAGGUGGUGCAUGGUUGUCGUCAGCUCGUGUCGUGAGAUGUUGGGUUAAGUCCCGCAACGAGCGCAACCCUUAUCCUUAGUUGCCAGCACAUAAUGGUGGGCACUCUAGGGAGACUGCCGAUGAUAAAUCGGAGGAAGGUGGGGAUGACGUCAAAUCAUCAUGCCCCUUAUGAUCUGGGCUACACACGUGCUACAAUGGUGAUAACAAAGUGAAGCAGCCUCGUGAGAGUGAGCAAAUCACAAAAAAGUCAUCUCAGUUCGGAUUGUAGUCUGCAACUCGACUACAUGAAGCUGGAAUCGCUAGUAAUCGCAAAUCAGCAGGUUGCGGUGAAUACGUUCCCGGGGUCUUGUACACACCGGAGGUCGGUGGGGAGGGCAAGGGGCACGACAGGGGGGGAUA
This 483-nucleotide ribosomal RNA is filed under the name uncultured bacterium. RNAcentral describes it as "bacterial SSU rRNA". It matches the Rfam family "Bacterial small subunit ribosomal RNA", at positions 954 to 1434 of the family's 1533-position model. The record is from RNAcentral.